AUGGACGACUUCAUGCAGUGGGCGAUGAACACGCUGGACCAGCAGCAGUACCACGCUGCUGCGGCCGCCGCGGCUCCUCCUGUAUACGGUGGUGCUGCUGGCUCCAGCUCCGGUGGCAGCAGUGCUGGUGCCGCCUUCCCCUCGCUGCAGGCGCUCCGCGAGUCCACGGCGGCCGGCGCCGGCGUCAGGGACCUGAGGGUGCAGGUGGACCACCACCAGCCCAGCAGCUGGAGCACCAGCUCCGGCGACAGCCCCGGCGCCGCCAUGGACCACGACGCGGCCGCCGCCGGGCCCGGGUGGUCCCCGCACACGGCCCGCGCCAGGACCAGGGCCACCAGCAGCAGCAGGCCCAUGAGCUGGAACUUCAGCGCCGCCGCCGCGUCCGCGCAGCUGCCGGCUGACAUCGACAUCUCCCCGCGGCCGGCCCCUGCCCCCAGAGGCCACAGUACGCCCGCCGCCGGGAGGAGAUCGGGGGCCAGCGCGCAGGGCACAACGGCCGGGCCGUCUGCCUCUCCGGGGCCCGUGCAGGACCACAUCAUCGCCGAGCGCCGCCGCCGGGAGAAGAUCAACCAGCGCUUCAUCGAGCUCUCCACCGUCAUCCCCAACCUCAAGAAGAUGGACAAGGCGACGAUUCUUGGGGACGCGGUGAAGUACGUGAGGGAGCUGCAGGAGAAGGUGAAGACCAUGGAGGACGACGACAGCGCCGCCGCCGCCGCCACCACCACCACCACCAUCCGGUCUGCCGUGCUCGUCAGCAAGAAGAUCAAGGCGGACGACGAAGACGACGACGACGAGGACGCCGGCGAGUCGAGCCACGGCGGGCUGCCGGAGAUCGAGGUGCGGGUGUCGGGCGAGAAGACCGUGCUGGUGCGGAUCCACUGCAAGAACGCGAGGGGGCUGCUGGUGAGGGUGCUGGCGGAGGUGGAGGAGCUCCGGCUCGCCAUCACCCACACCAGCGUCAUGCCCUUCCCCGCCGACACCGCCAUCAUCACCAUCACCGCAAAGGUACUUUACUCCAUGCAUGUGAACUCCAUUAUAGCUAGAAAGCUGUGUGACCGGAUCCGGAGAUGUGACAACCCCAAAUGGGACAUCCUUAUAGAUCUCUGGAAAAAUAAAAGGCCACUAUAUAUGCUGUAG
RNAcentral lists this ribosomal RNA (1137 nucleotides) under Triticum aestivum (bread wheat). Its description in RNAcentral is "partial small subunit ribosomal RNA". Lineage: Eukaryota; Viridiplantae; Streptophyta; Magnoliopsida; Poales; Poaceae. The record is from RNAcentral.